AACGCGAAGAACCUUACCUGGGUUUGACAUAUACCGCAAAGCUGCACAGACGCCCCCCCCUUUUGGUCGGUAUACAGGUGGUGCAUGGCUGUCGUCAGCUCGUGUCGUGAGAUGUUGGGUUAAGUCCCGCAACGAGCGCAACCCUCGUUCUAUGUUGCCAGCACGUAAUGGCGCGGACUCAUAUGAGACUGCCGGGGUCAACUCGGAGGAAGGUGGGGAUGACCUCCAGUCUUCAUGCCCCUUACGUCCAGGGCUUCAAGCAUGCUACAAUGGCCGGUACAAAGGGCUGCGAAACUGUAAGGUGCACCGAAUCCCAAACAGCCGGUCUCAGUUCGGAUUGGGGUCUGCAACUCGACCCCAUGAAGUCGGAGUCCCUAGUAAUCGCACAUCACCAACGCUGCGGUGAAUACGUUCCCGGGCCUUGUACACACCG
Molecule: ribosomal RNA, 433 nt
Filed under: uncultured bacterium
Lineage: Bacteria
Description: bacterial SSU rRNA
Rfam family: Bacterial small subunit ribosomal RNA
Source: RNAcentral